Molecule: ribosomal RNA, 777 nt
Filed under: uncultured Neocallimastigales
Lineage: Eukaryota; Fungi; Neocallimastigomycota; Neocallimastigomycetes; Neocallimastigales
Description: partial large subunit ribosomal RNA
Rfam family: Eukaryotic large subunit ribosomal RNA
Source: RNAcentral
GUAGUCUCGCACAGAUGCAUAUCAAUAAGCGGAGGAAAAGAAACUAACAAGGAUUCCCUUAGUAACGGCGAGUGAAGCGGGAAGAGCUCAAAUUUGAAAUCUUCAAGGUUUUACCUUGACGAAUUGUAGUUUAAAGAAGUGUUUUCUGCUGAAGUUUUGGUAAAAGUUCUUUGGAAUAGGACAUCAUAGAGGGUGAGAAUCCCGUAUUUGACCAUUAUUUUCAGCUGUGUGAUACACUUUCAAAGAGUCGGAUUGUUUGGGAAUGCAGUCCAAAAUGGGUGGUAAAUUUCAUCUAAAGCUAAAUAUUGGCGAGAGACCGAUAGCGAACAAGUACCGUGAGGGAAAGAUGAAAAGAACUUUGAAAAGAGAGUUAAACAGUACGUGAAAUUGUCAAAAGGGAAGCGUUUGACACCAGUGUUGUUUUCUCGAAAAUCAAUUAAAAAGAGUUCAGAUUUUGUUGCUGUAUUGACCUUAACAGCUUGCAUUUCAAUUUUCUUGCCUUUUUUUAAUGCACUUUUCGUUUAACAAGUCAACAUCAGUUUCUUUUGUUGUAAAAAGGUCAUUGGAAGGUGGCUUUCUUUUCGGAGAAAGUGUUUAUAGCCUUUGACUCCUGCAAUCGGAGAGACUGAGGUCUGCAGCGUAGAUCCUUCGGGGUUAGAUACAUUUGUGCUAAGUUAUAGCUUUUUAUAGACAACUUGUUGACUAUGAUUAGUCUUGUAGCUUACUCGCUUAUGCUAUUUUACCUACGCUUAGGAUGUUGAGCGCAUGUCUCUCUCU